Molecule: long non-coding RNA, 1610 nt
Organism: Branchiostoma belcheri (Belcher's lancelet)
Lineage: Eukaryota; Metazoa; Chordata; Leptocardii; Amphioxiformes; Branchiostomatidae
Exons: 2
Source: RefSeq, a predicted model, not a curated record
CUGGUUGAAUUACCCCCGUUUAGAACUGGGCUAAUCAGAAAACAGCGGAAGACCACCAAACCCCCACUUCUAUAAGCCUGCUACAGAGGCUAUGUCAGAAUACUUCUGAAGGGGGGUGCACAAUAUAUAAUGAUGUACAAAAUUUGUUAUCUCAACACAAUGUCCUAUACCAACCACAUUUCAAAUAGUGUAUUGAGAGGAAGCUCCAUUUAGGUUGGUUUUACCAACCCACUGUAACCUCCUUAGUUUUACAGCAUGAAAUUCACAUCUGUAAACACUUGUAGUAACAUUAGGCAUGACAAAUUGUCUAGCGUGAUAUAGCCAGCUGCUGCGCUGAAAAAAAAUACUAUUACAGUAACUGAUACAGAGAUACAUUGGUCCUUAACAGCUAUUGCUGAAUGGAAGGAUAACUGUGAAAACAUUUAACAAGAAAACAAAUCCUGCACCCCCUGAGACUAAUGGUACAUUCUCCAUGAAGGCCACCUCACCAACUGUGCAUACUAAAGUGUAUAUCUGUAAAUAUGUGCAAAUCAGCCUAUUUUGCAAGCAGGUAUUACCAUAGACAUUGUUGAUAGUUGAAGAGAUAUGCCUACUCACUGGUGAACGCUGUAUGAUUAUGAUGUACUAGAUGGAAAUGGUUGAACUGUAUGCCCUAUACACAUGUAGGAUACUCUGAAUAAUAUGUAAGCAGAUUGGUCAGGUUUUUUUUUGUAGAGUCAGCAAAAGUGACGUAUAUCAUCAUGUGUAUUACUUAGGAAGAGAAGUUGAACAUAUUCUGGACCCUAAUUUAGCUUUUGCACUACCCAAUUCUGUAACAUUAUUUUUCAAAGAUGUAAAAUUAAAUAAGCAUGCAACCCUGUCAUGUAGAUUUUUUGUUCAUGUUUGAUUCAAAGUUCUAUUUUUGGUUGUGAUUGAUGAUUAUGUGAUGAAAUUUAAAGACUUAGAAAUUGAUAAUUUCUUACAAAAAAAAUCAACGCUGUGAUAGAUUGAAGGUCCCCAAAGUUUAAAGUGAAAAAAUAUUACGUUUGAUCGUCCCAACUAUGAUAGAUAUAAUAAUGAUGGAAAGUAUGAUUAUUUGCCUGUACCGUGUGGGUCUUAGUUAUGAUUUGUUUUCAACUGUCUUGUUCAUCAAUGUUUUGGAAAAGAAAUCUUUUAUUGUUGAACAGAAAUUAUGAGGCCUUCGAUGUGUUUCUGCCUUCCAUGCAGUAUUUCUGUUCUUUAUAGAAUCAUUACUGGAAAAAUCAUCAGACUGGUACAAUGGCUUUUGUAUGUAACAGUUUGAAAGACAUUUAGAUGUCUUCAUACAUGUACAAAUGCUUGAACGUAGACAGAAAACUUGUUCUAUAGGUAGAGCUGAGUACCUAAACAAACUAAGGACUGCCUUUCCACUGACCAUAUAUUGUAACAGCUCCGGAGUUAGGAGCACAUGCAUGUGUCAGAUGUGGUAUGUAAUGGGUGGCAGGCAAAGAAGGCUACCAUAUUGUAUUACAGACAGGUGUUUCUUUGUUAAAAGUUGGUUUGUGGCUUACAUCAUACAUAUAUACAGACGACAAAGAGUUAUGUUAUUUUCCAUAUUCCUGUUAGCCAUCAAUAAAAGUAUCAAAACACUC